Non-coding RNA from Gossypium arboreum, 107 nucleotides. The record is from Rfam. NCBI's taxonomy places the organism in Eukaryota, Viridiplantae, Streptophyta, Magnoliopsida, Malvales, Malvaceae.
AACCCAUGGUGAGGGCACAUUUUCAAUAAAUCCUCGUAUCUCUCCCAUGCAUCAUAUAAAGUCUCUAAAUUGAUCUGAACAAAGGAAGAGACGUCGUUCCUCAACAU